This 465-nucleotide ribosomal RNA is filed under the name Vreelandella stevensii. Its description in RNAcentral is "partial 16S ribosomal RNA". It matches the Rfam family "Bacterial small subunit ribosomal RNA", at positions 338 to 795 of the family's 1533-position model. Lineage: Bacteria; Pseudomonadati; Pseudomonadota; Gammaproteobacteria; Oceanospirillales; Halomonadaceae. The record is from RNAcentral.
CCUACGGGGGGCAGCAGUGGGGAAUAUUGGACAAUGGGCGAAAGCCUGAUCCAGCCAUGCCGCGUGUGUGAAGAAGGCCUUCGGGUUGUAAAGCACUUUCAGUGGGGAAGAAAGCCUUGGGGCUAAUACCCUCGAGGAAGGACAUCACCCACAGAAGAAGCACCGGCUAACUCCGUGCCAGCAGCCGCGGUAAUACGGAGGGUGCGAGCGUUAAUCGGAAUUACUGGGCGUAAAGCGCGCGUAGGCGGUCUGAUAAGCCGGUUGUGAAAGCCCCGGGCUCAACCUGGGAACGGCAUCCGGAACUGUCAGGCUAGAGUGCAGGAGAGGAAGGUAGAAUUCCCGGUGUAGCGGUGAAAUGCGUAGAGAUCGGGAGGAAUACCAGUGGCGAAGGCGGCCUUCUGAACUGACACUGACGCUGAGGUGCGAAAGCGUGGGUAGCAAACAGGAUUAGAUACCCUUGUAGUC